AAUGAUAUGCCUGAUAUAAAAGGAUUAUUAUGAUAUAAUAAAUUAUGUAAAUUAAAUUUACUAUCAUUA
This 69-nucleotide transfer RNA is filed under the name Parnips nigripes. Its description in RNAcentral is "tRNA-Ile". Lineage: Eukaryota; Metazoa; Arthropoda; Insecta; Hymenoptera; Figitidae. The record is from RNAcentral.